RNAcentral lists this ribosomal RNA (487 nucleotides) under uncultured bacterium. RNAcentral's name for it is "bacterial SSU rRNA". It matches the Rfam family "Bacterial small subunit ribosomal RNA", at positions 19 to 507 of the family's 1533-position model. The record is from RNAcentral.
AUGGCUCAGAUUGAACGCUGGCGGCAUGCUUUACACAUGCAAGUCGAACGGUAACAGGUUAAGCUGACGAGUGGCGAACGGGGUGAGUAAUGCAUCGGAACGUGCCCAGUCGUGGGGGAUAACGCAGCGAAAGCUGUGCUAAUACCGCAUACGAUCUAUGGAUGAAAGCGGGGGACCGUAAGGCCUCGCGCGAUUGGAGCGGCCGAUGUCAGAUUAGCUAGUUGGUGGGGUAAAGGCCCACCAAGGCGACGAUCUGUAGCUGGUCUGAGAGGACGACCAGCCACACUGGAACUGAGACACGGUCCAGACUCCUACGGGAGGCAGCAGUGGGGAAUUUUGGACAAUGGGCGCAAGCCUGAUCCAGCAAUGCCGCGUGCAGGAAGAAGGCCUUCGGGUUGUAAACUGCUUUUGUACGGAACGAAACGGUCUGGGCUAAUACCCCGGGCUAAUGACGGUACCGUAAGAAUAAGCACCGGCUAACUACGUG